GUGCUCGCUUCGGCAGCACAUAUACUAAAAUUGGAACGAUAGAGAAGAUUAGCAUGGCCCCUGCUAAUUUAAGGAUGACACGCAAAACUGUUCCAUAAAAAAUAGUAGA
This is a small nuclear RNA of Mastomys coucha (southern multimammate mouse), 109 nucleotides long. The record is from RefSeq and is a predicted model, not a curated record. NCBI's taxonomy places the organism in Eukaryota, Metazoa, Chordata, Mammalia, Rodentia, Muridae.